This 72-nucleotide transfer RNA is filed under the name Pelolinea sp. RNAcentral describes it as "tRNA-Gly". It matches the Rfam family "tRNA". From Rfam's summary of the family: Transfer RNA (tRNA) molecules are approximately 80 nucleotides in length. Their secondary structure includes four short double-helical elements and three loops (D, anti-codon, and T loops). Lineage: Bacteria; Bacillati; Chloroflexota; Anaerolineae; Anaerolineales; Anaerolineaceae. The record is from RNAcentral. RNAcentral also lists the same sequence under 3 other names.
GCGGGUGUAGUUCAAUGGUAGAAUGUCUGCUUCCCAAGCAGAAGGUUGUGGGUUCGAGCCCCAUCGCCCGCU